CACCAGAGGGACCGGGCUGAGAACUGUGAGAAUUAGAGGAUGAGGUCACCAGGAUGCACGGCCGACGAGGGCCUUUUGGGCCCAGGGGUGACCUUGGCCACUGUGGGAAGGCCAAAACACAGAGGAAGUCAGAUGUCGCCUGCCCAGCGGCCCAGCUUUCUCAUCUGUUUCAGACUUGGUCAUGAGGGGUAAAUGCCGUAGCUGUACCUCACCACCUCCUCCCUGGAGCGUCCAGGAGUUAGGUGAGCCUCACUCAGCUCAAGGUCGUGACUCAGAGAAGCUGGCGAGGCAUCCAGAGACACAGAAACCUUGACAGUCAGACAGUGAUUCACAGACAGAGCUCCACUUCGCCUUCUGCAACUGUUACCUUCUCAAAGCUUUCCGUCGGAGAGCUUGAGCAGGCUGGUGCUGCUGGGAAGGUGCCCGCCUCAGAGGUGGCAUCGGAAGGUGGACCUGACAUACCUGGCUGUGGCUUCCCCAGCCUUGGCUCUGGCCUGCCAUUUGGAGCUUAUGAUUCAUUCAGAGCUGCACACACGGACCCUGUAGAUUCACAGUGCUGCAACGUCGCACUCACCCGUCCCAUCGCUGCUCUGCAAAUGCGGUCUUUGCUGGAUUUGGGUCUCCAUUGAGCUGCUGAGGCAAAGCAGUCACAGGAGACAUCCUCGGUUGAGUCGGGAGACAUGAAUUUCUUUGCAUACUCGGGUGCUGACUUUUGUGAGACCACAAGGAAGAACCCAUGUCCUACACCUCUGCAGGGCCAGCGGACUGAAAAACAACAGGGCUGGUUUUACCCCUUAGUCUGUAUUUGAAUGCCAUUCUCGUCCUUCGUGAUACCAGAUUCAGAUAUUAGAGCCAGGACCAGCCACAGAGAGCAGGUAUAAUCACAGUAGCUAUAAAGAUAAGAUUUCAUUCAAAGACUGCAUAGACGCAGAAUGAUUGGAGAGUAUCCCAGGCAAAGCUAAGUCUUGCAGCAAAGGCCAGGGUUGUGAACAGCCAAGGACUAAUUUGGAGAGGGUGUGGAAGGCAGGUGAACAGGGAGAAGAAGAAAACACAAAAGAACUGGGACCACCUUAGGACGCACUGCAGUCUCUUGGGAGGGGCCUCACUGGACUCAGAAAUCUGUGGCUGACCCAGACCCUCUCUGAGAGGUCCUCCUGCCCUGUUGGCAUUCUUGUGACUAAGAUGCAACUUCCUCCUCCCAGCUGGGAGCUGUCCUCAUGCCAGUUCCUGUCGCGGUGGCUCUGUUACCUGUCUCUGCCACAUCCACUUUUUCUUAGGGUCCUCUUCCAGAAAGCCUCCAGGGAAGGGGUCUGGGGUGGAGGGUCUCCAGUGGGUUGAUGGAGGAAAUCUUUCAUCCUCUUCAGAUUCAGAUGUCCGGAUCUUCUGUGCAUCAGGGGCAGCAGCCAAGCACCAAUCUGCCUGCUCAUGGAAAGGCUAGGCCGGAGCCCUGGGCCACCUUAUGACCCACUGCCUGGGGCUGACAGCCACGUAUUUCCAUUAGCUUCUGACACUUUUGCCAAGGCAAGAUCAGAGACAGAGCACUCCCUAGCUAACCAUGCUGACAUCCCAAGUCCUGACCUGGCCCAUAGCAAUAAGCGCUGACUUGGUCUUUCUUAGUCAUGAACUUCUAUAUUUUCAGUAUCCCAGGCUCCCCAGGACCACUGCUGUGCCAAAAUUAAGCCCAUUUACCUGGCCAGUUGAGAUCCUGGACUUUGCAGGAACCUGGAUUCUUUGGCUGCUGCUGGCCAUGGAUUACCUCUUGAAGCAGCGCAGUCUCUGUGCAGGUUUUGGGUCCCCUUGUGUUGCAGGUUCCUGUCCCCUGAACAUUCUUUACAAGUUACUUCUACGUAAACUGGACUUCUCACUCUUGCCUGCGGGCAGUGGGAGUAAUAAUGAACCCAGAGAGGCAUCAGAAAUUGUUAGCUAUCGUGGAGACCUUGCUUUACUCUCCUUAGAGAGCUCCUGGAAAGCGAAUUUCACGCUGCUAGCUCAUAUCCCUCAGGGGAAUCGUUUGGUAAGUACUUGAUAAAAUGUUCUAGACAUAGCCAGUUGCCGUGGACCUCCAGAACACUGAGACACUGAGGAAACGCCUAAGGGUUGUUUGUUCUUUCAUUUGCUUGUUUUCAUUAGCCUUCGCACAAAUGCUGUACUCUCUUUAAUUGUGCACAUUCUGGAUCUGAGAUUUCCUGUUCUUAAGGCCCUUAGUUUAUCUACACACAGUUCUUGGCGAGACAUAAUUUGUUUUCUAAAGAGAAAGAGCAUGUGCCGAGGCACUAGACCACAGGCACAGCCCUGUGCCCUUUCUGUGGACUUCAUCUUGCCCAGUCCAAAGCAAGAGAACCAUUUGAGGGCUCAGCCCCAGUCAGGGGAACGUGGAACUGUUUCUCAAGACUAGUCCUGGGCCACAAGAAACCAGGCGGAUUUUAAGUAUCUGGAUAUCUGCUGGAUGGCGGGUCUCUCAGCCCCAUACUGCCAUCCUCAGUGAGCAGACUGGGCAGUUUUGACCCAGUGACACUGGUUGGCAUUGAGCUGUUGGAACCCCUUGGAGCCCGUGAGUUGGACACCAAGCCAUGCCCACUGAUGAUUCUGCCUCAUUACUUAAGACACGAGUAGCACUGGUUUUCCCAGUGGAACUACGUAACUGGUGUCCUGGUGCACUUCAAAGCCAGCAGACCGCAGAUGGCUUCUCACGAGUUCGGCUGUGUCGAGUUUCUCAUGAUCAGGGUAUGAGUUUUGUCUUCCUCACAGAACCCAAGAGGUCAGAGUUGAUGAGAAACACCAUCCUGGAUAGCUGAUGUGUCGAGAAGAGACUCCUGUAAUCCUAAAUAACUCAGGUCUCGGCCCCUUGGCCUGCGUGCAAAUGCAGCCAACAGGUCUAGGAGAGCGAUGAUGAUCCUCCCAGCAGCACACCCGGCUACGCACCCUCUGGUGUUUAACACCACGUCAAACAGCAGGAUUUGUACGGGACUCAGAUGGAGACAUUUCUCUUUUGCCUUAGUUUGGGCAAAAACUUGAUUUCCAUCAGAUAGCUGUAAUGGAUGGCAAGGACAACAGAGAAAGAAGGCCGAGCCUGAGGCAAAUGCCAGAAGUUUCCCAGAAGGGUAAAUCUUGUUUCCUGCCUGACUUCACAGAAUUAAGCCUGAAACAAGUCAUGUUCUGUGGCUGGAGGCUGUGUUUAUGUCAGCUCUGCCUCCCUGGCUCGUGGCUGGGAACAUUGUCUUGGUCUGUAACUCAGGAAGGUUUUCCUGAAGCGAGAAAUCACUAUUCCUGUGUCUUUAUCUCCCAGUCCAUUUUAUUUGUUCUAUUAAUACGAGCAGACGAGCUCUGAAUGAGAAGUAGAUUCUGAGGAGACAGUGACAUUGGCCAGGUGCAGCCUCAGAGCCAGUGAUUUAGCGCUCUGCUUUGGUAACUGUCAUUCCCAGGAGUUGUAUGAAAGAUGCCUCUUCAUAAAGGAUUUUGUUUUGGAAAGUUAUAACAGCGCCUCAUCUGUGCACAGCACAUUCUCAGUCUGUUCAGGAGAAAAUCCUUUCUGUGGAGUUCAGAGUAGGCUGAGACCUUGUGGUCUCUUGGUGUCUUAAAUGAAACCAAAUCUUCCGGGAAUUGCAUUCGUUUAUGGUUAGUAACAGGCGACUUCCUGUUUCGAAGCAAAAUGGGCUUGAAGAGGCUUAUAAAAAAAAGGCUCAAAAGGUUUCUUGGACAUCAAAUGACUCUAGUAAAACAUUCUGAUGAGUUAAGUGUAAAUGCAUCAGCAGCAUACGGAUUAAAUUCUCUUCUAAAUAAACAUUAACAGAGAACAUGUUUGGCAAAAUGCAUUGCAAGUUUUGCAAAACUGAAAACAUUUCAAAAAGGAGUGUGAGAUAUUUGAUGAACUCAGAAAACACCCGGAUUGCCCGUCCCAUACUGGAAUAUUUUCCUUGGAUGUUCUGCAGAUGUCAAAUAAAUUAGGAUGCAGAUAUUAAAACCAAUGAAGACUGCAGAAAUGAUCAGCUGCCUGUCAUUUGUCAUGGCAGCGUUCCUGUGAAUGCUAUGGUCACACUAGUGUCUCUGAAGAGCACCCCAGGGGCCACGUAACCCUUUCCUCACUUCCCAGCCACGGCUCCCUCCUGCUUAGAGCCUUGCAAAUCCUUCUGUUAGCCUUACCUCUUGGAGCUUUCUUUCUGCUGGUGACCUACUUCGGUUCCCAGAGGGAAUUUCAACUUUGUGAUAUGUCCACAAUGUAAUCGUGAUGCCAGCUGGCAGAGGACAGCUGUGACCUUCUUGGGCCAAUUGUCUUUCAUCCAGAAGCCACAGCUCUUGUCAAGACCCCCACUGUCUCUCAGCAGCAAUCUUCUGACAUGCUCCAAGAUGGAACUGUAACCCUCUUGGGUGGUGGGGGUGCUGGAGGAACAAAAGGAAUGAAGCAGAGGUGACUAAACAUGGAAAAGGCAGAGCAUGUUUAUGCCACGUGAGUUGAAUCCUCUUGAUCAGAUCCUUGGCGAAGCCCCCAACCGAGAGAAACACCCUCGGAGUCGCCUGGUAAUAUAGCUUCCGGGACAGGGAAGAGGCACCUUGGCAUCCUUCUUACAAAAUGCUUGAUUUGUUGCUCAGACUCACAGGACACAUCCUCCCCAUACGUAGAUACCACAGCUUCACAGUCUGUAGUCACCUGGAAUUCAUGACCAUUUUGCUUUAGAAAGCAGAUUCUAAGAAGAUUUAACAGGCAAAUAAA
Cavia porcellus (domestic guinea pig) is the source of this 4708-nucleotide long non-coding RNA. RefSeq lists it as uncharacterized. Lineage: Eukaryota; Metazoa; Chordata; Mammalia; Rodentia; Caviidae. The record is from RefSeq and is a predicted model, not a curated record. The transcript has 3 exons.